AUCCAACGGAUGAAAAUCAUUCAAUGUUUCACAUCCAACGACAGUGGGGCUCACGCGACGCGAGGUCACGCGGUGGGGGUCAUGCGGUGGGAGAUCGAUCGCGCAAUCAAUCGUAUCCCCUUACUCCGCUUCCUUCCUCCGCAAUGGCAACUGCGCCUCCGCCUCUCCUCCACCUCCGGCUUCCCCCAAAGUCCAUUCGAUCCUCUCACCCUCGCCUCGCCUCGCCUCGGCGAAUCGGAUUCCGAGCACUCACAACCGGAUCGGAGUGAGUUCCAUGGCCUGAAUCACUCCUCCACCUCCGGCUUCCCCCAAAAUCCAUUCGAUUCUCUCAACCUCGCCUCGGCGAAUCGGAUUCCGAGCACUCACAACCGGAUCGGAGCGAGUUCCAUGGCCUGAAUCAUGGGGGGACUGGCCGAGGAGAGGGGCGCCUCUCUCUCUCACACACACACUGGAUUGGUUACUCUGGAUUCCGUUGCUUAAUUUGUCCACUGCAAAUGCAACUCCACGACCAGCUCACCGAUCGCCGGACACUGGUGGAUCCAGUGUGACUGAUUCCGCUAAUCCUCCCAUUCGCCAGCCGGCACUGCUUUGGGGAACUCUAGCUCUCAUUAGGCACCUGUUGUGAUCAAUCAUGCCACCGAACUGAAGCCGACCAUCCCACUGCCUUUGAUCGAUUGCCUGUGUAUCAGGCUGUUGAUGUUUUGUAAGUCACAAUUGGGGAAAAAAUUUGAACUUGUGAUGGCUGAAGGAACACGAUAACUUUGGGUUGCAUCCCGAUGUGAACAGGUAAUGUGUUGAGUUGCUUUUUUUUUCUCCAAAUGACUUAUUAAUUUGCAGUGGUACACCAUGGCACCUGCUCCUUUUUUCUAUGUAAGCAAGGAAUUUUGGUUGGUUCUAUUAAUUUUUCUUUGGUUGGAUGUAAGGUGUAGUUUUCAGGUCAUUGGAGGCUCUAUAUAUGCUUGUAAUCCAUGUGAUUUCCUCUUAUCACAUUGAAGGCAUCUCCUACUGUUGAUAUUUGUCGGUCCCCAAAUAAUACUCAUCUUUGCAAAAUUUUUCUUUCCUUGAAUUAUUCAAUGUCUUAGAGUACAUGACCUUGCAAUGCCACUUCCUUCUUGUUGCAGCACAUUAUUCAGUUUGCGUUAUGAAUCAAAAAGUGGUUAUAGUAGAUAGAAAUAGUUUGGAAGAACAGGGAGCCUAAAGAUCCUUUCAGUGGAUGUCCGUGUUUGGGCGGCUUGAGACCAUCUUAAUAUUGUAGGUGCAGGAAAUUAAACUAAGGUAAAAGCGAGAUGCUGAUGUUAGGUGUAGAUGAUAUGGAUACCUGAAUCAGUCCAAACCUGCUUAGGUUGGAGCUACUUCUCGAUAGGAAUCCAAAUAUCAGAGGGAAGGUUGUCCUUGUACAAAUUGUCAAUCUAGCAAGAAGUACAGUGGAACACAGAGGAAGCAAUAAAAGAAGUGGAUUACAAAGUGUCAUCCUUAUUUACCAUCAUAUAUUGUUUUAAUGAAAAUAUUUUAUUUUAUUAUGCAUCUGAUUGUUAUUGUAAAUGUUAUGAGGGAUAGUAUGAAUUUUA
Molecule: non-coding RNA, 1568 nt
Organism: Oryza sativa Japonica Group (Japanese rice)
Lineage: Eukaryota; Viridiplantae; Streptophyta; Magnoliopsida; Poales; Poaceae
Source: RefSeq, a predicted model, not a curated record